CAGCCGCCGCGGUAAUACGGAGGGUGCAAGCGUUAAUCGGAAUUACUGGGCGUAAAGCGCGCGUAGGUGGUUUGUUAAGUUGGAUGUGAAAGCCCCGGGCUCAACCUGGGAACUGCAUUCGAAACUGGCAGGCUAGAGUCUUGUAGAGGGGGGUAGAAUUCCAGGUGUAGCGGUGAAAUGCGUAGAGAUCUGGAGGAAUACCGGUGGCGAAGGCGGCCCCCUGGACAAAGACUGACGCUCAGGUGCGAAAGCGUGGGGAGCAAACAGGAUUAGAUACCCCUGUAGUCCCUGUCUCUUAUAC
RNAcentral lists this ribosomal RNA (301 nucleotides) under uncultured bacterium. RNAcentral's name for it is "partial 16S ribosomal RNA". It matches the Rfam family "Bacterial small subunit ribosomal RNA", at positions 509 to 807 of the family's 1533-position model. The record is from RNAcentral.